ACACACCCUCAACUUCUUAUUCAAUAUUCCUUCACACUAUCUUCUUCUCUUCAUGAGGGUUUAGCAAAGGGUUGCUAACAGAGUUUAUUGGCAUUCUGUCCACCU
Molecule: non-coding RNA, 105 nt
Filed under: Glycine max (soybean)
Lineage: Eukaryota; Viridiplantae; Streptophyta; Magnoliopsida; Fabales; Fabaceae
Source: RNAcentral